This 514-nucleotide ribosomal RNA is filed under the name uncultured bacterium. Its description in RNAcentral is "bacterial SSU rRNA". It matches the Rfam family "Bacterial small subunit ribosomal RNA", at positions 8 to 518 of the family's 1533-position model. The record is from RNAcentral.
AGGGUUCGAUUCUGGCUCAGGAUGAACGCUGGCGGCGUGCUUAACACAUGCAAGCCGAACGAGCUUACUUUCACGAUCCCCUCGGGGGUGACGAGUUGUAAGCGAGUGGCGGACGGGUGAGUAACGCGUGGGCAACCUGCCCCAUACAGGGGGAUAACAGUUGGAAACGACUGACAAUACCGCAUAAGCGCACAGUAUCGCAUGGUACGGUGUGAAAAAACUCCGGUGGUAUGGGGAUGGGCCCGCGUCUGAUUAGCUAGUUGGUGAGGUAACGGCCCACCAAGGCGACGAUCAGUAGCCGACCUGAGAGGGUGACCGGCCACAUUGGGACUGAGACACGGCCCAGACUCCUACGGGAGGCAGCAGUGGGGAAUAUUGCACAAUGGGGGAAACCCUGAUGCAGCCGACGCCGCGUGAGUGAUGAAGUAUUUCGGUAUGUAAAGCUCUAUCAGCAGGGAAGAACAAUGACGGUACCUGACUAAGAAGCCCCGGCUAACUACGUGCCAGCCGCCGC